UACGUAGGGGGCAAGCGUUGUCCGGAUUCAUUGGGCGUAAAGAGCGUGUAGGCGGCCAGGUAGGUCGGUUGUGAAAACUGGAGGCUCAACCUUCAGAGGUCGACCGAAACCAUCUGGCUAGAGUCCGGAAGAGGAGAGUGGAAUUCCUGGUGUAGCGGUGAAAUGCGCAGAUAUCAGGAGGAACACCAGCGGCGAAGGCGGGUCUCUGGACAGUUCCUGACGCUGAGGCACGAAGGUCAGGGGAGCAAACGGG
This 253-nucleotide ribosomal RNA is filed under the name uncultured bacterium. RNAcentral describes it as "partial 16S ribosomal RNA". It matches the Rfam family "Bacterial small subunit ribosomal RNA", at positions 524 to 776 of the family's 1533-position model. The record is from RNAcentral.